AUACGUAGGUGGCAAGCGUUAUCCGGAAUUACUGGGCGUAAAGCGCACGCAGGCGGCCAGUCAAGUCUGACGUGAAAGCUCCUGGCUUAACUGGGAGAGGUCGUUGGAAACUGAUUGGCUUGAGGCAAUGAGAGGGACACGGAAUUCCCGGUGUAGUGGUGGAAUGCGUAGAUAUCGGGAGGAACACCAGUGGCGAAAGCGGUGUCCUGGCAUUGACCUGACGCUCAUGUGCGAAAGCGUGGGGAGCGAACGGGAUUAGAUACCCUGGUAGUCC
This 274-nucleotide ribosomal RNA is filed under the name uncultured bacterium. RNAcentral describes it as "partial 16S ribosomal RNA". It matches the Rfam family "Bacterial small subunit ribosomal RNA", at positions 523 to 796 of the family's 1533-position model. The record is from RNAcentral.